RNAcentral lists this long non-coding RNA (1172 nucleotides) under Ananas comosus (pineapple). RNAcentral's name for it is "long non-coding RNA (ACOM_LNC036832)". The record is from RNAcentral. Lineage: Eukaryota; Viridiplantae; Streptophyta; Magnoliopsida; Poales; Bromeliaceae.
UAAAUUGUAUUCAAUAGUUUAUAUUUAGGGAAAACUUCAAAAAUCCCCUCUGUGGUUUCGUAGUUUCUCACUUUGCCCCUCUGUGGUUUAAAAUAUAUCAAUUUGCCCCCAUGUGGUUUCUUUUUUCUCUUAUUCUUAUCAAUUUCAUUAUUUUUUUUUAAAAUCAGUGAUAAAGUUAAAAUUAAAGGAUACUAAAGUGAAUAUUUGAUAAAUCUAGAUGGGUAUCUGAAGUUUUUUUUGUAUAUAAUUUAAUGAAAUAUUAACGAAAAAGCUACCAAAAAGAUAAAAACGAAACGACAGGGGAGCAAUUUGAUACAUUUUAAACCACAGGAGGGCAAAGUGAGAAACUACGAAACCACAGGGGGUUUUUUGAAGUUUUCCCUUAUAUUUACUCCAUCAAAUUUGUUCGGUUUUUUCUAUUGAAACUCUUAUUAAACUCCACAUUCAUUCCAAACUUAAAAGUUCAAGUUAUACUUUGUCUAGAUUUAUUAUUUUUAAAUUUAUUUAAUUUAUUCUAUUUAGGGCUGACGAUCUAGCUCGCUAUUCGGAAGAUAACUCUUGUUCGGUAGGAAAUGAGUGGGAGAUUGAUUUAAUAAUCGAAUCGAGUACAAACUGAAUUUUUCAGCUCAAAAUCUUAACGAGUCAAAUAUGAGCAAUCAAGUUAAAUUUUUCAACUCAAAUUUCAAUUAUUUGGCUCAAUUGACAUUCCUACUCUCUCUCUAUUACAAAUUUCAAUUAUUUGGAUUUUAGGCCAACCAAAAACCCACUAGCAAUAAUAACUCGUUGAGUCCAAAUCCACCGUCCUAAAAUACUUAAGUUUAAUUAUUACGUCAAGCCAUAACUAUUCCGAUGUGGGACUAUUGGGCCUAAUCAAGCUUAUAUACCCCCACAUCUAGUCCUAACUAUUCGAUGUGGGACUAUUGACAGAGCCCAAGAUCUUCUGAUCCUGACUAAGACAAGACCCAUCUUACACUUCUGACUGGUGAACCGACUCUGAUACCAAAUAUAACGAUCCAACCCGCUAGCAAUAAUAACUCGUUAAACCCAAAUCACCGGCCAAAAGUUAUUAUGUCUAGCCUAAUCAAGCUUAUAUACUCUCACAUCUAGUCAUAACUAUCUGAUGUGGGACAAUUGGGAUGUCACCGGCUGACAAUUUAAUUUUUUGUUCACAA